CUCGCCGUAUGCCAGCCACCGUACGCGACCGUGCCUGAAACGUAUACAACCUAUGCCUAACGUACCCCUGGCGUAUGUCAGCGUAUACCGGCGUAUGAGUGAUAUUUUUCAUACGCUGGCAUACGCUAUAGUACGAUACGCAAUAGUGUGACAGGGCCUUAACAUUCACACUCGCAAUUACCCUGAUCUAUAAAAUCUAGACUUAGUUCAAGUCCGUCUCUCAAGGGGUUGAAAAUAGCGAUGCACGCAAACGGUCAAAAAAGGCGCGAAAAUAUGAGAGAAAAGUAGGGAGAGACGGACUUGGAUACCCUGCAAGCGCGCCAAAUUUUACCGUCGGAUUUUUCCUACGGAGGCGUGGCUUGCCAGUUGAGAACAACAACAAAUUUUCGCGCCAAUUUUUGCAAGUAACAUUCGAAAUGCUGCGAAUGUCCCAAGUCCGUCUCUCCC
Non-coding RNA from Paramuricea clavata, 447 nucleotides. NCBI's taxonomy places the organism in Eukaryota, Metazoa, Cnidaria, Anthozoa, Malacalcyonacea, Plexauridae. The record is from the annotation of a GenBank genome assembly.